Molecule: ribosomal RNA, 497 nt
Filed under: uncultured bacterium
Lineage: Bacteria
Description: partial 16S ribosomal RNA
Rfam family: Bacterial small subunit ribosomal RNA
Source: RNAcentral
GAUGAACGCUGGCGGCGUGCCUAAUACAUGCAAGUCGAGCGAACAGACGAGGAGCUUGCUCCUCUGACGUUAGCGGCGGACGGGUGAGUAACACGUGGAUAACCUACCUAUAAGACUGGGAUAACUUCGGGAAACCGGAGCUAAUACCGGAUAAUAUAUUGAACCGCAUGGUUCAAUAGUGAAAGACGGUUUUGCUGUCACUUAUAGAUGGAUCCGCGCCGCAUUAGCUAGUUGGUAAGGUAACGGCUUACCAAGGCAACGAUGCGUUGCCGACCUGAGAGGGUGAUCGGCCACACUGGAACUGAGACACGGUCCAGACUCCUACGGGAGGCAGCAGUAGGGAAUCUUCCGCAAUGGGCGAAAGCUUGACGGAGCAACGCCGCGUGAGUGAUGAAGGUCUUCGGAUCGUAAAACUCUGUUAUUAGGGAAGAACAAAUGUGUAAGUAACUAUGCACGUCUUGACGGUACCUAAUCAGAAAGCCACGGCUAACUACGUG